UUGAAGCUAAAAACGAAAUCAAAAACAUCCUAAGCGAUCCAAAUUGCACCAACACCUCUGGAAAUAAUAACAUCGCAAUUGACUAUAUCACAUAAAAAUCAUUGUUAGCCCAAUGUUCAGAAACACCAAUUGCAUAAAUUGAGAUUGGAGAAUAAUCACCACCGUCCCAGAUUCGAUACAGUUUUUGCAGAUCACCAGAAAUAUCAAUAAACUCGUUCUCAACAGAUCCAACACUAAAUAGACCCAACCAUAACUAGACGGAAACAUAACCAAACACUCCAACAGGAGAGACAAAACACACACUCCAAAAAGAGAGACACACAAACACCCAAAAAAUUGGGUUUUAUUGAAAGAAAACUAACAAGAGUAAAAUAUAAUGAAGGGAUUGGGGCUUUCCACCGGAGAAAACCAGUGGAAGCCCCUCGAUUUACUUGAG
Molecule: long non-coding RNA, 436 nt
Filed under: Daucus carota (carrot)
Lineage: Eukaryota; Viridiplantae; Streptophyta; Magnoliopsida; Apiales; Apiaceae
Description: long non-coding RNA (DCAR_LNC004320)
Source: RNAcentral